UGGGGAGUACGGUCGCAAGACUAAAACUCAAAGGAAUUGACGGGGGUCCGCACAAGCGGUGGAACAUGUGGUUUAAUUCGACAAUACGCGAGGAACCUUACCUGGGUUUGACAUGUACGAGACCGCUGUAGAAAUAUGGUUUUCCAAGAGUAAUCUUGGACUGGUACACAGGUGCUGCAUGGCUGUCGUCAGCUCGUGUCGUGAGAUGUUGGGUUAAGUCCUCUAACGAGCGCAACUCUUACUGUCAGUUGCUAUCCUUCGGGAGCACUCUGACGGGACUGCCUGGGAAACCAGGAGGAAGGUGGGAACGACGUCAAGUCAUCAUGGUCCUUAUGCCCAGGGCUACACACGUGUUACAAUGGUCGGUACAACGGGCUGCAAGCUGGUAACAGUAAGCUAAUCCCUUUAAAGCCGAUCUAAGUUCGGAUUGAGGUCUGCAACUCGACCUCAUGAAGUUGAAAUCGCUAGUAAUCGCGCAUCAGCAACGGCGCGGUGAAUACGUUCUCGGGCCUUGUACACACCGCCCGUCACGCCAUGAAAGCUGUCUGUGCCCGAAAUUACCUUAGCUAACUCGUAAGAGAGGCGGGUGCCUAAGGCAUGGGGAGUGAUUGGGGCGAAGUCGUAACAAGGUAGCUGUAGGAGAACCUGCGGCUGGAUCACCUCCUUUAUG
Molecule: ribosomal RNA, 670 nt
Filed under: uncultured bacterium
Lineage: Bacteria
Description: bacterial SSU rRNA
Rfam family: Bacterial small subunit ribosomal RNA
Source: RNAcentral